GAUGAACGCUAGCGGCAGGCUUAACACAUGCAAGUCGAGGGGUAUAGGGGGCUUGCUCCCUAGAGACCGGCGCACGGGUGCGUAACGCGUAUGCAAUCUACCUUUUACAGGGGGAUAGCCCAGAGAAAUUUGGAUUAAUACCCCAUGGUAUAUGUGAAUGGCAUCAUUUAUAUAUUAAAGUCACAACGGUAAAAGAUGAG
Molecule: ribosomal RNA, 200 nt
Filed under: uncultured bacterium
Lineage: Bacteria
Description: partial 16S ribosomal RNA
Rfam family: Bacterial small subunit ribosomal RNA
Source: RNAcentral